UUUCCGUAGGUGAACCAGCGGAAGGAUCAUUAUUGUAUAACCAAGGUGCGAGGCCUGCGGCUGCCCCGCCUGGUUGUGCACGCCCGAGUGCCGUCACACACCUCCAUCUCACCCCUAUGUGCCCCACCGCGAGGGUCCCCCCUCGGGUAGUUUGGUGGGGGGCUUACGUCUUCUCUCAAACUUAGUAUGCAGUGUUGAAUGUCUUUUUUGUUUUUGCGAUCAUGCAAUAAAAACAACUUACAACAAAGGAUCACUUGGCUCUCGCAUCGAUGCAGAACG
This 279-nucleotide unclassified non-coding RNA is filed under the name plant metagenome. RNAcentral's name for it is "partial contains small subunit ribosomal RNA, internal transcribed spacer 1, and 5.8S ribosomal RNA". The record is from RNAcentral.